UAAAAAAAUAUAACAUGUCCUAUUCUUGUCCGCGCUUUGCGGACAAGAAUAGGCAUUUAUAUUGCCGGUGCCUGUUCUGCAAAUUGCAGAAGGCAACAGACUGCUUCAGUUUUUUGCAAAUCCCAUAAAACCGCACGGCAGUG
Bufo bufo (common toad) is the source of this 143-nucleotide long non-coding RNA. RefSeq lists it as uncharacterized. NCBI's taxonomy places the organism in Eukaryota, Metazoa, Chordata, Amphibia, Anura, Bufonidae. The transcript is spliced from 3 exons. The record is from RefSeq and is a predicted model, not a curated record.